GACCACCGAGCCUCCCCUCAAACGAUCAUUCAUCCGUCCACUCUCUAUCAACCACGAUUCUUCAUUCUCCACUUCACCGUGUUGGGGUCAGGACACGUCCAUGAAGCAUCCGGAGAGCACUACCUGACUUGAGAGUUUGCUCUUUCUAGGUCAACUCCUCUUCACCGUGUUGGAGCCAGGACACGUCCGUGAAGCAUCUGGAGCACACCGCCUAUCCAAUAGAGCUGAUCCACGGAUUACAUCGUGAUUUGCUUGGGGGCCCACCACCUUUUGUUCGGCAUUCCGAGAAUUCAUCCAUCAUGGCUAACUCCGGGGCAAGGCUCUGAUACCACUUGUAGGGACUAUGGACACCACUUAUCUCCAUAUUGGUAUGAUAUUGUCCACUUUGGGCCUAAGCCCUCAUGGAUUUGCUCUUGGGCUAUACCCCAAAAGGC
This 434-nucleotide long non-coding RNA is filed under the name Populus tremula. RNAcentral describes it as "long non-coding RNA (PTRE_LNC002410)". The record is from RNAcentral. Lineage: Eukaryota; Viridiplantae; Streptophyta; Magnoliopsida; Malpighiales; Salicaceae.